AUUAUACUUCCUCUGUCCGAAAAAUGAGUGAUCCAGAUUUGUCUAGAUUCGCAUGUAUCUAUACACUAAAACACGUCUAGAUACAUAUGAAUCUAAAUAAAUCCUAAUCACUUAUUUUCAGACGGAGAAAGUAUGUU
Molecule: non-coding RNA, 137 nt
Organism: Brachypodium distachyon (stiff brome)
Lineage: Eukaryota; Viridiplantae; Streptophyta; Magnoliopsida; Poales; Poaceae
Source: Rfam